Molecule: ribosomal RNA, 319 nt
Filed under: uncultured bacterium
Lineage: Bacteria
Description: bacterial SSU rRNA
Rfam family: Bacterial small subunit ribosomal RNA
Source: RNAcentral
AGCGAACGCUGGCGGCAGGCCUAAUACAUGCAAGUCGAACGGUCUCUUCGGAGGCAGUGGCGGACGGGUGAGUAACGCGUGGGAAUAUGCCCUUUGGUACGGAACAACUGAGGGAAACUUCAGCUAAUACCGUAUGUGCCCUUCGGGGGAAAGAUUUAUCGCCAUUGGAGUAGCCCGCGUUGGAUUAGGUAGUUGGUGGGGUAAAGGCCUACCAAGCCUACGAUCCAUAGCUGGUCUGAGAGGAUGAUCAGCCACACUGGGACUGAGACACGGCCCAGACUCCUACGGGAGGCAGCAGUAGGGAAUCUUGCGCAAUGGG